CAGGGUGAGGAGGAGUUUUAAUUGCUGUGACUAACAUCUCCAGCACAAUGUUAAAUAGUAGUCGAGAUGGUGGGCAUUUUUGCCUUGUUUCUUCAUUAAGAAGAUGCUGCUUUAGCAUUAAGCAGAAGAGCCUUUGGGUGAAGACAUGGAAACUUGGAAAGGAAUUCUUUGUUACAGUUCUGUAUAUUCUAGAAGAUCCCUCUGGGGAGGCAAAAUUAGGAUACUAUUUCCACUAAAAUGCAUACAAAAUAAUUCGUUCAACAGCAGAGCCAAAGACCAGUGUGUGACUAUUAACCUAAGUGAUGAUCUAUUAAGAAAAGUGCUUGGAUACAGGAACUUAAAAUGUCUUCUGCAUGCCUGACUAGUCAUAGUAGCCUGUGUCCUACUGCCUCCACACCAUGUUUUUGUGGGUGCGGAAUAAUAAUCAAGGAAAAAUACUUAGGAAACUGAGACCAAGUAAAAGAUAAAGGACUUACAUACCUAUCACUGACAGUCUGAUGUUCUUCUGAUGAAAGCAACUGAUCAAAAAACUACACUUAGUUGAUAACUGUUACACAGCAUCAACUUAUUAAUACAUUUCACAAAAUUAAAAUUUCUAUAGUAGAAAGAGGUAAGUUGUGAAGCUUAUACAUGAAUAAAAACAAGUCUGCAGUAUUUGGCAGACUGUAAUGUUUCUUUAAAGUUAUACCUGCAUUUCUGCCACUCUACUCCACUAAUGAUUAAUAUUUUGAUGUUUAUCCUUCUUGUUUUUCUGUUCUAUAAAUGUUAAAAAAAAGAUGCAGAAAGAAGAAUGCUGACAAGUCUAAUUAAGAAAGCUUAACCAGGACUGGGGUGUGUGGAAUGUAUAAGUAUGGAUUAAUUUCAGCUGGUCUGUUGCAGCCCUUUGUUUAUCCCUGGGAACACCUGGAACACUCAUAUAGCUAACCCUUUGCCAAACCUAAAUGAAAUAGAUCAACUAGUGAUUAAUAUAGUCCCCUGCAAGGGUCACAGAUUAGGGGACAACUUGAACUAGCUUGUCAGCACUGUUUAUAGAAAUAGUACAGAUUAAUGGUUUGCACCUGGUUCCUGUUAUGUUUCCUUGGUUUACUGCUUUUGAGCCUGCUCAUGCAGCCUGGUUUUGACUAUAUGACCAGAGGAGGGUAUCAAAGACCUCUCCUUGUACAAGAUGGAUGUUCCCCUGAGACCACAGCAUCUUACAUAGAUCUUGGUGGUUCACACUCUGAAGUAUGUACUCUGCAACUGAAAUAGGAUCCCAGGAAUUGUGCCUGAUAGUUUUAAAGAUCUGUGACUUUUUUUUCCUCUUGUACCAAAAUCUCCACCUUUUUAAAGUCUUACCAUAACAUAGAACAUAAGGAAUGAUCAUUACUUAAUGUUAAGCAAAUAAAUGAAGAUUACAAAAUGUCAUUCCAACAACUGAUAAUUCUAUUGCCCCUACAUUUUAUUUAUUUUUUUUUUUUAAUUUUUUUUUUAACGUUUAUUUAUUUUUGAGACAGAGAGAGACAGAGCAUGAACGGGGGAGGGGCAGAGAG
Molecule: long non-coding RNA, 1529 nt
Organism: Felis catus (domestic cat)
Lineage: Eukaryota; Metazoa; Chordata; Mammalia; Carnivora; Felidae
Exons: 3
Source: RefSeq, a predicted model, not a curated record